UACGUAGGGUGCGAGCGUUGUCCGGAAUUACUGGGCGUAAAGAGCUCGUAGGUGGUUUGUCGCGUUGUUCGUGAAAUCUCACGGCUUAACUGUGAGCGUGCGGGCGAUACGGGCAGACUGGAGUACUGCAGGGGAGACUGGAAUUCCUGGUGUAGCGGUGGAAUGCGCAGAUAUCAGGAGGAACACCGGUGGCGAAGGCGGGUCUCUGGGCAGUAACUGACGCUGAGGCACGAAGGCCAGGGGAGCAAACGGG
Molecule: ribosomal RNA, 253 nt
Filed under: uncultured bacterium
Lineage: Bacteria
Description: partial 16S ribosomal RNA
Rfam family: Bacterial small subunit ribosomal RNA
Source: RNAcentral